GCUGAGCACAAUGUAGGCGCUCUAAGACUAAUGAAAGAAUCAAAUCAGGUGUGUGAGUGAUUCAGCAAGAAGUUGAAUUAGAGCCAGCUGCUUCGUCUGAGUUGGGUUAAGUCAGAGGGGGAGGGUUGAUAUUGGGUAAUCAGAACAAAACGAGCUGGAGGGCCAGCCACCUGCUUAGUCGGAGUAAGAAUGCCUGCAGAGACCUGGACCAGAGUGGGCAGAAUGGAGUCACCAUGAAUAUAUGCACCAAGGGAAUGAACACACAAAUUAAAAGGCUGGAGUAUAGUGGUGCGAUCAUAGCUAGCUGCAGCCUUGAACUCCUCCUCAAGCAAUCCUUCCUCCUUGGCCUCGCAAAGUCCUGGGAUUACAGGCGUGAGCUACUGGGCCUGACCUACAAAAUGUUUUAUGCUUUCGCCUAUUAUAGGAGACAUAUUGCUCACCCUUCACGAGAGGUCAAACACCUGAGUUAAAUUUUGGAAAGCUUCUAUAUACCUAUCAGGAUCUUCAGAAAAUCAGACUAAGCCUCCUUUUAUUUGCCUAAGGACCUGCAAUGAGAAGGGAACUUGAACCCUAGUGGCAUCACCUCCAUUGGGAAUUUCCUAUAGGGGGCCUAAAUAGUGUUCCUUGGAGAGAAAAUUACCCUGGGAAUGAAUAAACAAGAGCAAUGCAAAUGUUUCUUUUACAUUAGAUUCUUGCAGCCCUGGAAAUCCUAAAUAAUAAUCAUGGCAAUACUACAUUUAUAAGACUAAAAGAUAGGAACUCAAGAAAAAUUUGGUCAUAGCAGUUGGUGAAAAAGUGAAUUUAAGAGAAGUGACAAAAAGAACUACUUGGGAUAUCCACGACUGUUACAGAUGCUUCGUGGAGGUUCAAAAAGACUACAGAUCAAGGCCAGUGACCUUCUACACAUGGUGGACACUCCAGCCUCUGCUCAAUCUCCAUCCACACUUAAAGGAAAUAGCCAACUCUUGGCCAACCUUCAGGCCUGGGAAGAGGCUCAAGCAGACACUGAAGACGGACUUAAGCAUGACCAAGGACCAGGGUAUAUACACCAGACAACAGAGCCGUUUCAUUUUGGGGGCUCGUUUGGGAUCAGAAUCAGAAUGGAAGGUAGAAACAUCAGAGUGGCUAUACGAUGUCCGGAAGUGGUGGGUUCUUGGUCUCACUGACUUCAAAAAUGAAGACGAAGACGUGGACUCUGGCGGUGAGUGUUACAGUUCUUAAAGGCGGUGUGUCCGGAGUUCAUUCCUUAUAAUGUUGGGAGUUUCUUCCUUAUGGUGGGUUUGUGGUCUCGCUGGCUCCGGAGUGAAGCUGCAGACCUUCGCGGUGAGUGUUACAGCUCUUAAGGCGGCACGUCUGGAGUUGCUGGAUCCUCCCGGUGCGUUUGUGGUCUCGCUGACUUCAGGACUGAAGCUGCAAACCUUUGCCGUGAGUGUUACAGCUUAUAAAAGCAAUGUGGACCCACAGAGAGAACAGCAGCAAGAUUUAUUGGAAAGAGAUAAAGAAUAAGGCUUCCACACUGUGGGAGGGGACCGGAGGGGGUUGCCACUGCUGGCUCCGGCAGCCUGCUUUUAUUCUCUUAUCUGGCCCCACCCACAUCCUGCUGAUUGGUAGAGCCCAGUGGUCUGUUUUGACAGGGUGCUGAUUGGUGCAUUUACAAUCCCUGAGCUAGACACAAAGGUUCUCCAAGUCCCCACCAGAUUAGCUAGAUACAGAGUGUCCAUUGGUGCAUUCACAAACCCUGACCUAGACACAGGGUGCUGAAUGGUGUGUUUACAAACCUUAAGCUAGAUACAGAGUGCCGAUUGGUGUUUUUACAAUCCCUUAGCUAGACAUAAAGGUUCUCCACGUCCCCACCAGACUCAGGAGCCCAGCUGGCUUCACCCAGUGGAUCCCGCCCAGGGGCUGCAGGUGGAGCUGCCUGCCAGUCCCGCGCCGUGUGCCUGCACUCCUUAGCCCUUGGGUGGUGGAUGGGACUGGGCGCCGUGGAGCAAGAGGCGGCGCUCAUCCCGGAGGCUCCGGCGGCACAGGAGCCCACGGAGAGGAGGAGGCUCAGGCAUGGCGGGCUGCAGGUCCCAAGCCCUGCCCCGCGGGAAGGCAGCUAAGGGCUGGCGAGAAAUUGAGCACAGCAGCUGCUGGCCCAGGUGCUAAGCCCCUCAGUGCCUGGGGCCGGUGGGGCCGGCUGGCCGCUCAGAGUGCGGGGUCCGCCCAGCCCACGCCCACCUGGAACUUGCGCUGGCCCGCAAGCACCGCGUGCAGACCCAGUUCCCUCCCGCGCCUCUCCCUCCACACCUCCCAGCAAGCUGAGGGAGCCGGCUCCGGCCUUGGCCAGC
RNAcentral lists this long non-coding RNA (2330 nucleotides) under Homo sapiens (human). Its description in RNAcentral is "HSALNT0163044". Lineage: Eukaryota; Metazoa; Chordata; Mammalia; Primates; Hominidae. The record is from RNAcentral.